CGCAGGCGUGAGAGUCUCCUCAGGCUAUUUAAGCGAGGCUCGAGUGUUUCGCGUUCUUUCGCUUCUGCGGCGCUCGUCGGAACCUUUGUCUCUCUGUUCCUCUUCUGAUGGCGUUCUACCCUGGGAACGUGGGUGUGCUACUCCAUGUGGUUUGCAUGAUCAGAGACUGCAGGAUGGAUCUCGGAGAAGACGACUCCUGCUGGGCCUCUAAGGCAACCAUGUAUAGACAUCCACAAUCUUCAGUCUCCUGAUCUCUGGGGUUUACUAGUGGCAGAAAGCAGACUUUGAAUGGACUAUCAUUUGGAAAGAAUGGGACUAGAGCACCCUGUGUUCCUCAAGGCAAUGAGGAAGUGGAUUCCAGCCUGAUUUUGCCGUCAGCUUGGUUCAGUCUAUCCUGUAACAGGGCAUUUAUCAGCUAUGGACUUGGAAUACAAGGCCUCAAAUGACUGAUCCUGUGCUCUCCAGAGAAAGCAUGACUUGGUUGAUCAGUCUCACAAGAUGAUUCUGCAACCCAGGUAUCCAGAGUUGGAAAAGCCUCUGCCUGCUCUGAAGAAUCAGUUACUGAUUUUUAGCCUCCCUAUGUGGAAAAUAAAGCCCUUUAAAUCAAAA
Molecule: long non-coding RNA, 609 nt
Organism: Sus scrofa (pig)
Lineage: Eukaryota; Metazoa; Chordata; Mammalia; Artiodactyla; Suidae
Gene: ZFAS1
Source: RefSeq, a predicted model, not a curated record